GGAGAGGUGGCUGAGUGGUUGAAAGCGGCACCCUGCUAAGGUGUUAUACGGGAAACUGUAUCGAGGGUUCGAAUCCCUCUCUCUCCG
RNAcentral lists this transfer RNA (87 nucleotides) under Gammaproteobacteria bacterium. Its description in RNAcentral is "tRNA-Ser". It matches the Rfam family "tRNA". From Rfam's summary of the family: Transfer RNA (tRNA) molecules are approximately 80 nucleotides in length. Their secondary structure includes four short double-helical elements and three loops (D, anti-codon, and T loops). Further hydrogen bonds mediate the characteristic L-shaped molecular structure. tRNAs have two regions of fundamental functional importance: the anti-codon, which is responsible for specific mRNA codon recognition, and the 3' end, to which the tRNAs corresponding amino acid is attached (by aminoacyl-tRNA synthetases). tRNAs cope with the degeneracy of the genetic code in two manners: having more than one tRNA (with a specific anti-codon) for a particular amino acid; and 'wobble' base-pairing, i.e. permitting non-standard base-pairing at the 3rd anti-codon position. The record is from RNAcentral. Lineage: Bacteria; Pseudomonadati; Pseudomonadota; Gammaproteobacteria. RNAcentral also lists the same sequence under 2 other names.